GUUUUAAUAGUUUAAAAAAAACACCGGUCUUGUAAACCGAAAAUAAGAAUGAGCCCCCACUUUUAAAACU
This 70-nucleotide transfer RNA is filed under the name Oxytauchira flange. RNAcentral's name for it is "tRNA-Thr". It matches the Rfam family "tRNA". Rfam says of the family: Transfer RNA (tRNA) molecules are approximately 80 nucleotides in length. Their secondary structure includes four short double-helical elements and three loops (D, anti-codon, and T loops). Lineage: Eukaryota; Metazoa; Arthropoda; Insecta; Orthoptera; Acrididae. The record is from RNAcentral.